This 683-nucleotide ribosomal RNA is filed under the name uncultured fungus. Its description in RNAcentral is "eukaryotic LSU rRNA". The stretch from base 267 to 417 matches the Rfam family "5.8S ribosomal RNA". The record is from RNAcentral. Lineage: Eukaryota; Fungi.
UCUUGGUCAUUAGAGGAAGUAAAAGUCGUAACAAGGUUUCCGUAGGUGAACCUGCGGAAGAUCAUUAGUGAAUCUUCAAAAGUCGGCUUGUCGGAUUGUGCUGGUGGAGCACAUGUGCACGUCUUGCGAGUCGCAAACCCACACACCUGUGCAUCUAUACUCUGAGUGCCGCUUUGCAUGGCCUUGACCGGCCUGGCGCUCGAGUACUUUUAACACACUCUCGAAUGUAAAGGAAUGUCUUGUUGUGCGUAAUGUAAAAUUGAAACAACUUUCAACAACGGAUCUCUUGGCUCUCGCAUCGAUGAGAACGCAGCGAAAUGCGAUAAGUAAUGUGAAUUGCAGAAUUCAGUGAAUAUCGAAUCUUUGAACGCACCUUGCACCCUUUGGUAUUCCGAAGGGUACACCGUUUGAGUGUCAUUGUAAUCUCACUACGAUCGACUUUUGUCUUUCUGAUGUGGACUUGGAUGUUGCCGUGGAUAUCUAUGGCUCGUCUGAAAUGCUCAGUGUACCCCGCAGAGCGGCGUAUUCGGUGUGAUACAUCUUCACCGGAUUGAUCCUUUACGGGUCGCGUCUGUAAUGUGUGGCUCUAUGCUUCCAACGUCUUGAUAGGACAAUCUUUGACAAUUCGACCUCAAAUCGGGUGGGACUCCCGCUGAACUUUAAGCAUAUCAAUAAGCGGAGGA